UGGGGAAUUUUGGACAAUGGACGCAAGUCUGAUCCAGCCAUGCCGCGUGCGGGAAGAAGGCCUUCGGGUUGUAAACCGCUUUUGUCAGGGAAGAAACGAGUUUCUCUAAUACAGAGACUUAAUGACGGUACCUGAAGAAUAAGCACCGGCUAACUACGUGCCAGCAGCCGCGGUAAUACGUAGGGUGCAAGCGUUAAUCGGAAUUACUGGGCGUAAAGCGUGCGCAGGCGGUUAUAUAAGACAGAUGUGAAAUCCCCGGGCUCAACCUGGGAACUGCCUUUGUGACUGCAUAGCUAGAGUACGGUAGAGGGGGAUGGAAUUCCGCGUGUAGCAGUGAAAUGCGUAGAUAUGCGGAGGAACACCGAUGGCGAAAGCAAUCCCCUGGACCUGUACUGACGCUCAUGCACGAAAGCGUGGGGAGCAAACA
Molecule: ribosomal RNA, 427 nt
Filed under: uncultured bacterium
Lineage: Bacteria
Description: bacterial SSU rRNA
Rfam family: Bacterial small subunit ribosomal RNA
Source: RNAcentral